CGCACCUUGCGCUCCUUGGUAUUCCGAGGAGCAUGCCUGUUUGAGUGUCAUUAAAUUCUCAACCCCUCCAGCUUUUGUAAGUUGUGAUGGGGCUUGGAUGUUGGGAGUUUGCGGGCUUCUAUAAUAGAGGUCGGCUCUCCUUAAAUGCAUUAGCGGAACCGUUUGCAGUCCCGUCACUAGUGUGAUAAUUAUCUACACUGUGAUGAUUGCUCUCUGGCUUGUUCAGCUACUAAUCGUCCUUUAACGGACAAUGUAUAAUGAACAUCUUGACCUCAAAUCAGGUAGGACUACCCGCUGAACUUAA
This 304-nucleotide unclassified non-coding RNA is filed under the name Calvatia fenzlii. RNAcentral describes it as "partial contains 5.8S ribosomal RNA, internal transcribed spacer 2, and large subunit ribosomal RNA". Lineage: Eukaryota; Fungi; Basidiomycota; Agaricomycetes; Agaricales; Lycoperdaceae. The record is from RNAcentral.